This 826-nucleotide long non-coding RNA is filed under the name Penaeus japonicus. Its description in RNAcentral is "uncharacterized LOC122253181, transcript variant X1". Lineage: Eukaryota; Metazoa; Arthropoda; Malacostraca; Decapoda; Penaeidae. The record is from RNAcentral.
CACACCUUACUGCAGCUGAGGGCGGAGUUACGGGCGUGUUUUUCUUUUUGUUUACGUAAAUGUGACGCUUCAGAUUGUGGACUUGCUGUACUGCUCCAAUUCUCCAUUCCCGGUGGCUAACAGGUAUACUGUACGAAGAAAAUGCUAUACUGAUGAGGCCGAGCUGUCCUAAAACUUGGUCGACUCGUCCGGCUUACAGGUGAAAAAGGGGGCGUGGCGGCAGAAUGCUCUUGAACACCUGUCAAGACACACCCUACUGCAGCUGAGGGCCGCGUUGCGGGCGUGGUGUCUUUUCUUCAACAGUAAAUAUGCGCUGUUAGAAACGAACCGGCCUUGCUUCUCAUGGAAUCUUUUUUUUUUUUUUUUACCUCAAUUGCAUGUGACAUUUUCGAUUUUUGAUGUCUCAUAUUUUAUUUGUUUCUUUUGCUGAUAAAAGGGUUAAUUUUGCUUAACUAUGUCUAAUACAAUUGUUACAUGAUAGAUAUCUGAGUUGAAAUAAAUAAAUUAUGUUCACCUGUGUUUAUCUCAAAACCCCAAGAACUGAAGACAUCCUUCGAUUCAUAAAGAACGUGAUUAUUCACAAAAAGGUAAGAAAAGAAAAAAAAAACACUGCGGACAUAAGUUUAUUUAUACGUCAGUAAUUUACAUACUUAAAGUCCGAUAAGUGUAAGUUUAUUAGAAGUAGUACUAGAUAAUGAGUAGACACACAGGACAGUCAUUUCAGCGAAUUCACCUGCGCUCCAUCUGCAAAUACAGUUCCUUUACAUAAGCUAUGUUAACAGAGGGUAGCAUACACUAAUACUGCUAGGUCUAUGUACUUAAAUAA